Small nucleolar RNA from Jaculus jaculus (lesser Egyptian jerboa), 79 nucleotides. The record is from Ensembl. Lineage: Eukaryota; Metazoa; Chordata; Mammalia; Rodentia; Dipodidae.
CAUGUAUGAUGAUAUCUUGGUAAUGUUAUAGAGUCCAAGUGCAUAGUGGAGAAGCCAACCUUGGAGAGCUGAGAGUGUG